RNAcentral lists this transfer RNA (64 nucleotides) under Malachiinae sp. GENSP01. RNAcentral's name for it is "tRNA-Gly". The record is from RNAcentral. Lineage: Eukaryota; Metazoa; Arthropoda; Insecta; Coleoptera; Melyridae.
AUUUAUAUAAUAUAAAUAAUUAUAUUUAACUUCCAAUUAAAAAAUCUAAUAAAUAGUAUAAAUA